RNAcentral lists this long non-coding RNA (1327 nucleotides) under Homo sapiens (human). RNAcentral describes it as "HSALNT0402581". The record is from RNAcentral. Lineage: Eukaryota; Metazoa; Chordata; Mammalia; Primates; Hominidae.
UCGCUGGUGCUGGCACAGGAGCUUGGGAUCUGUCUCCUCUUUCGCCUCCUGCACCUUGAGAGCCCUGGGCUACUCUGUCACAGCCCCUGUUGCCCUGCGAUCUGUAGGUCCUUGGGGACGCAUAGUUAAGGUGCCAGGACAUCCUGGAAGCUGGGAAAUGAUUUUUGCAGUGGCAGGACCAAGUUCAAAUGAGUCAUAGCCAAGUUUACAGUAAGAUGUGGUAGUAUUCUGUUUUGAACCGAGGACCAUGAUUGGCAAGCUUGCCACUUGGUCAAGUGCUUACCCUCUAAAGAUGUCUUCCUUGGUCUUUGCCUCCAGCUGGGUGUCACAAACUCUGAACUGGAUUCUAAGGCUUUCAUGAAUGCACUUAUGUUUCCCGUGGCAGCUGCAUUAUGUUGUGGGGGAUGUGCAUGCCGAACCUCCCAUUCUGUCGUCUUGCUUAUGUUACUCUCCUUUAUGUUUCACUUUCUCAAAUGAAUGUCAAGCUGGUGAUUUUUAGAUUCAAAAAUUCUAAAAUAAAUUGCUCAAAUUUCCACAUUAUGUAAGCUAUUAAUAAAAUGUCUUGUAGGUGCUACAUAUUUAUUAAAAUUUUUGGUUGUAAUUUUAAGCUCACUGCAGGCAGAAAGGAAUCAUUAACAUUUAUAUUCUUUUUUUUAGUCUGUAUCUAAAUGAUGGUAUAUUUUAAUUCCAGAUAUUUACUUUAUACUGCAGUAAUGCUCGUCAUAUUUUGCAAAAUUUAUGUUGUUCUUUUAUUUGGAAAUAUAAGGCUUUUUUAGCUCUUGAAAUCUAUAUUAUAGUCAUAUAAUUUUAUUAUGUUUUGUGGUAAGAAGUGCAGCAACAUAUUGAGAACAUAAUAAAAUUAUCCUGUAUUUUUAAUGAUUAUUUAUUAAAUUCCUCUCAUUAGAGCCUGUUAUUAAUGAUUGUAAUGUAUUUUCUGUAUAAUUUUACUGCAAUUUAUUAAAUUCUAAUGACUUAAAUUGUCUGCUUUUCAUGAGUGCACACAGUUGAAUGCUGUAGAUAUCUAAAGAAUUAUUUUUCGGCCGGUUGUGGUGGCUCAUGCCUGUAUUCCCAGCACCUUGGGAGGCCAAGGCGGGUGGAUCACGAGGUCAGGAGAUCGAGACAACCCUGACUAACAUGGUGAAACCCCGUCUCUACUAAAUAUACAAAAAAUUAGCCGGGCAUAGUGGCAGGCGCCUGUAUCCCCAGCUACUCAGGAGGCUGAGGCAGGAGAAUGGCGUGAACUCAGUGGACAGAGUUUGCAGUGAGCCGAGAUCGCGCCACUGCACUCCAGCCUGGGCAACAGGGCAAGACUCUGUCUCAAAAAAAA